GCCAGGGUGGCUCAGUGAUUGAGCAUCAACCUAUAAACCAGAAGUUCCCAGGUUCGAUUCCUGGUCAGGGCA
This is a non-coding RNA of Myotis lucifugus (little brown bat), 72 nucleotides long. The record is from Rfam. Lineage: Eukaryota; Metazoa; Chordata; Mammalia; Chiroptera; Vespertilionidae.